GUUUGAAGCAGGCAGCCGUCAGCAUUUGGUGGGAGGCCCUGGACCUAGAAACAAAAAAUGAAAGUGGAGAAAACCAAACAAGAAUCUUUCUUUCUUAAAGUAAACAUCGGACUGACAUCUCCUUUCAAACAUUCAUUGAGGAUCUACUCUGUGAGAAGAAGCAAUACCAUGUUAUCUCAUUCUAGUUCCAGUUCUAGUUGACUUGAUUGUCAAACGACUGCUAAGAAGGUGAAAUAGAGGAGAUGACAUGAAUGAGGGACUACAUUGGAAUGAAGAAGAACCUGGAGGAGGUAAAAAAACUGAAGGCUCCGGAUGUCGGACGAUGGAAAAUAAAAACAACAAGCAAGUGAAACUCCCUGACUUAUCAACCUUACUCAAGAACUAUGCUCCUGUUUAGGUAUGCAGACCUGACUUCUUGACUGCAGAUCCCCCAAAACCAGAAUUGGGUGCUCUGAACAUGCUCAAGAGAAAGUCAAAUUUGAAACCCAUUGUGUUAAAACCUGUUGUAAGGAAAAAAAAAAAAAAAACUACAAAGAACUGUAUUUUGUCAUCGUAAUUACAGAGAUGUAGAAAAACGUGUUUUCUACAAGAUGCAAAAAUAUGUGAGACCUCUUUAUAACACAUGGUAUGUUAAGAAACAGCUGUUCAGCUACGACAUUAAAAUGCUGGU
This 670-nucleotide long non-coding RNA is filed under the name Homo sapiens (human). Its description in RNAcentral is "HSALNT0125733". The record is from RNAcentral. Lineage: Eukaryota; Metazoa; Chordata; Mammalia; Primates; Hominidae.